Molecule: ribosomal RNA, 253 nt
Filed under: uncultured bacterium
Lineage: Bacteria
Description: partial 16S ribosomal RNA
Rfam family: Bacterial small subunit ribosomal RNA
Source: RNAcentral
GACGUAGGGUGCGAGCGUUGUCCGGAUUUAUUGGGCGUAAAGAGCUCGUAGGCGGCUCGUCGCGUCGUCCGUGAAAACCCGCGGCUUAACCGCGGGCUUGCGGUUGAUACGGGCGGGCUAGAGUUCGGUAGGGGAGACUGGAAUUCCUGGUGUAGCGGUGAAAUGCGCAGAUAUCGGGAGGAACACCUAUGGCGAAGGCAGCUCGCUGGGACGUUACUGACGCUGAGACGCGAAAGCGUGGGGAGCAAACAGG